GCGCAGCAGGCGAGAAAACUUCACAAUGUGCGAAAGCACGAUGAGGGAAUCCCAAGUGCUUGCACGUAAGUGUAAGCUGUUUCUCUGUCUAAAACGCAGAGAGAGUAAGGGCUGGGUAAGACGGGUGCCAGCCGCCGCGGUAAUACCUGCAGCUCGAGUGGUGACCGUUAUUAUUGGGCCUAAAACGUCCGUAGCCGGUUUAAUAAAUGCCUGGGUAAAUCGGACCGCUUAACGGUUCGAAUUCCGGGUAGACUGUUAAACUUGAGACCGGGAGAAGUUAGAGGUACUCCUGGGGUAGAGGUGAAAUUCUGUAAUCCUAGGGGGACCACCAGUGGCGAAGGCGUCUAACUAGAACGGGUCUGACGGUGAGGGACGAAGCCCUGGGGCGCAAACGGGAUUAGAUACCCCUGUAGU
RNAcentral lists this ribosomal RNA (414 nucleotides) under uncultured microorganism. RNAcentral's name for it is "bacterial SSU rRNA". It matches the Rfam family "Archaeal small subunit ribosomal RNA", at positions 330 to 745 of the family's 1478-position model. The record is from RNAcentral.